Molecule: ribosomal RNA, 403 nt
Filed under: bacterium
Lineage: Bacteria
Description: partial 16S ribosomal RNA
Rfam family: Bacterial small subunit ribosomal RNA
Source: RNAcentral
UGGGGAAUAUUGCACAAUGGGGGAAACCCUGAUGCAGCGACGCCGCGUGAACGAAGAAGGUAUUCGUAUCGUAAAGUUCUGUCCUAUGGGAAGAUAAUGACAGUACCAUAGAAGAAAGCUCCGGCUAAAUACGUGCCAGCAGCCGCGGUAAUACGUAUGGAGCGAGCGUUGUCCGGAAUUAUUGGGCGUAAAGGGUACGCAGGCGGUUUAAUAAGUCGAAUGUUAAAGAUCGGGGCUCAACCCCGCAAAGCAUUGGAAACUGAUAAACUUGAGUAGUGGAGAGGAAAGUGGAAUUCCUAGUGUAGUGGUGAAAUACGUAGAUAUUAGGAGGAAUACCAGUAGCGAAGGCGACUUUCUGGACACAAACUGACGCUAAGGUACGAAAGCGUGGGGAGCAAACAGG